CGCCUGUUUAUCAAAAACAUGUCUUUAAGUUUAUAUUUAAAGUCUGACCUGCUCAAUGAUUAUUUAAAUAGCCGCAGUAUUUUAACUGUGCUAAGGUAGCAUAAUAAUUAGUCUUUUAAUUGAGGUCUGGUAUGAAUGGUUGGACGAAAAACAUACUUUAUUAAUUUUUAAUUUUUAAUUUUUACUUUAAGUUAAAAUACUUAAAUAUUAAAGUGGGACGAUAAGACCCUAUAGAUCUUAAUAAUUUUAUUAUUUAUUUUUUUUUUGUUGUUUUAUUAAUUUAUUUAUUAAUUUUUUUUAGUUGGGGUGAUUACUAAAAUUUUAAACUUUAGUUUAUUUUUACAUUUGUUAUUGUUUUUUUUGAUCUUUUUUUUUGAUUAUAAGAUAAAGAUACCUUAGGGAUAACAGCGUUAUUUGUUUGGAGAGUUCUUAUUGAUAAAUGAGUUUGCGACCUCGAUGUUGGAUUAAAUUUUGUUUGUGGGGUAGGUUUUACAAUUCUAGGUCUGUUCGACUUUAAAAAUUUACAUGAUCUGAGUUCAGACCGG
This 545-nucleotide ribosomal RNA is filed under the name Ricanula pulverosa. Its description in RNAcentral is "partial 16S ribosomal RNA". It matches the Rfam family "Bacterial large subunit ribosomal RNA", at positions 1797 to 2619 of the family's 2925-position model. The record is from RNAcentral. Lineage: Eukaryota; Metazoa; Arthropoda; Insecta; Hemiptera; Ricaniidae.